Molecule: ribosomal RNA, 617 nt
Filed under: Rhodococcus erythropolis
Lineage: Bacteria; Bacillati; Actinomycetota; Actinomycetes; Mycobacteriales; Nocardiaceae
Description: bacterial SSU rRNA
Rfam family: Bacterial small subunit ribosomal RNA
Source: RNAcentral
GAGCGGUAAGGCCUUUCGGGGUACACGAGCGGCGAACGGGUGAGUAAACGUGGGUGAUCUGCCCUGCACUUCGGGAUAAGCCUGGGAAACUGGGUCUAAYACCGGAUAUGACCUCCURUCGCAUGGGGGUGGUGGAAAGAUUUAUCGGUGCAGGAUGGGCCCGCGGCCUAUCAGCUUGUUGGUGGGGUAAUGGCCUACCAAGGCGCGACGGGUAGCCGACCUGAGAGGGUGACCGGCCACACUGGGACUGAGACACGGCCCAGACUCCUACGGGAGGCAGCAGUGGGAAUAUUGCACAAUGGGCGAAAGCCUGAUGCAGCGACGCCGCGUGAGGGAUGACGGCCUUCGGGUUGUAAACCUCUUCAGCAGGGACGAAGCGCAAGUGACGGUACCUGCAGAAGAAGCACCGGCUAACUACGUGCCAGCAGCCGCGGUAAUACGUGGGUGCAAGCGUUGUCCGGAAUUACUGGGCGUAAAGAGUUCGUAGGCGGUUUGUCGCGUCGUUUGUGAAAACCAGCAGCCAACUGCUGGCUUGCAGGCGAUACGGGCAGACUUGAGUACUGCAGGGGAGACUGGAAUUCCUGGUGUAGCGGUGAAAUGGCAGAUAUCAGGAGGAA